RNAcentral lists this microRNA precursor (154 nucleotides) under Amborella trichopoda. RNAcentral describes it as "MIR8565 microRNA precursor family". It matches the Rfam family "MIR8565 microRNA precursor family". The record is from Rfam by way of RNAcentral. Lineage: Eukaryota; Viridiplantae; Streptophyta; Magnoliopsida; Amborellales; Amborellaceae.
UCCACACCCAUGCGUGUAGGACCCAAAAGGAGCACCAUUAAAUUUGGCACAGAUCUCUAGAAAAGUUAUCACAUGGGUGUGGGAUUUGACUUUUUUAGAGAUCUGUGCUAAAUUUAAUGGUGAUCCUUUGAGGUCCUACACACAUGGGUGUGGG